This 30-nucleotide non-coding RNA is filed under the name Homo sapiens (human). The record is from RNAcentral. Lineage: Eukaryota; Metazoa; Chordata; Mammalia; Primates; Hominidae.
UGGAAAUGAAUAGGGCGCGGAGUGUCCAUA